GAGGACCAUCUUCCAAGGCUGAAUACUACCUGACGACCGAUAGUGAACCAGUACCAUGAGGGAAAGGCGAAAAGAACCCCGGCUAGGGGAGUGAAAAGAUCCUGAAAUCGUGUGUCUACAAGCCGUAGAAGCGCUAUGCCCUUCGGGGAAUGCGCAACUGCGUACCUUUUGCAUAAUGGGCCUGCGAGUUAUGGUCGGUGGCCAGGUUAAGCCGUUCAGGCGUAGCCGUAGCGAAAGCGAGUCCGAAAUGGGCGCCACAGUCGCCGGACAUAGACCCGAAACCUGGUGAUCUAUCCGUGUCCAGGAUGAAGGGAGGGUAACACCUCCUGGAGGUCCGAACCCACCACAGUUGAAAAUGUGGGGGAUGAGGUGCGGAUAGGAGUGAAAGGCUAAUCAAACUAGGUGAUAGCUGGUUCUCGCCGAAACCUAUUUAGGUAGGUCCUCAGAUAAAUAUCUCUCGGAGGUAGAGCACUAGAUGGGCUAGGGGUCCUACCAGACUACCAAACCCAACGAAACUCCGAAUACCGAGAGACUUAUUCUGGGAGCCAGGCAGUGGGAGCUAAGUUCCAUUGCCGAGAGGGAAAGAGCCCAGAUCGUCAGCUAAGGUCCCUAAAUCCAUGCUAAGUGGCGAAGGAUGUGGGAGCGCUUUGACAACCAGGAGGUUGGCUUAGAAGCAGCCAUCCUUUAAAGAAAGCGUAAUAGCUCACUGGUCAAGCGAGCCUGCGCCAAAAAUGUAACGGGGCUUAAGCAUGGUACCGAAGCUACGGGUUCUAGAAUUUCCUACGGGAAGUUCAGAGCGGUAGGCGAGCAUUCCAAGGGCUGUGAAGUCAGACCGUAAGGACUGGUGGAGCGCUUGGAAGAGAUAAUGCAGGCUUGAGUAGCGAUAAAACGGGUGAAAAACCCGUUCGCCGUAAGCCCAAGGGUUCCUGGGUAAAGUUAAUCUUCCCAGGGUUAGUCGGAUCCUAAGGCGAGGCCGAAAGGCGUAGCUGAUGGCAAGCAGGUUAAUAUUCCUGCACCACUACGGAUGGUUUCCACAGAAGGGACGCAGAAGGGUAGUCGAGCCCCAUAUUGGCUUGUCCGCAAGGACGGGGUUCAAACCUGUAGGCGGUUCUCGUAGGACCCGAUAGGGACAAACGCGAGGACAACGCCGAGAGGUAAUGAGGAGAGCGCUUUGCGCUCACGAACUCGAUAAUCCCAGGCUGCCGAGAAAAUCUUCGGUGGAGUUAACCGCUGUAGUGUCCGUACCGCAAACCGACUCAGGUGGGCGGGAAGAAUAUUCCAAGGCGCUUGAGAGAACCCAUCCUAAGGAACUCGGCAAAAUUCUACCGUAACUUCGGGAGAAGGUAGGCCGGCCUCCGUGACGAGCUCGCGCUCUGAGCGGAGGUUGGUUGCAGAGAAUCGGGGGUAGCGACUGUUUACCAAAAACACAGGACUCUGCUAAGUCGGAAGACGACGUAUAGGGUCUGAUGCCUGCCCGGUGCUGGAAGGUUAAGGGGAGAUGUCAGUCGCAAGACAAAGCAUCGAACCGAAGCCCCAGUAAACGGCGGCCGUAACAAUAACGGUCCUAAGGUAGCGAAAUUCCUUGUCGGGUAAGUUCCGACCUGCACGAAUGGCAUAACGACUUCCCCACUGUCUCGGGAUGGGACUCAGUGAAGUAGCACUAGGGGUGAAGAUACCCUUUACCUGCGGCAAGACGGAAAGACCCCAUGAACCUUUACUGUAACUUGACACUGAUUUUCGGGCUUAACUGCGUAGGAUAGGUGGGAGGCUUUGAUCCCGGGAUUUUGGUCUCGGGGGAGCCAACGGUGAAAUACCACCCUGUUGAUUCUGGAAAUCUAACCUGCACCCGUUAUCCGGGUGGGGGACAAUGUCUGGUGGGCAGUUUGACUGGGGCGGUCGCCUCCAAAAAAGUAACGGAGGCGCGCGAAGGUUCCCUCAGGCUGAUUGGAAACCAGCCGCUGAGUGUAAUGGCACAAGGGAGCUUGACUGCGAGACAAACAAGUCGAGCAGAUGCGAAAGCAGGUCAUAGUGAUCCGGUGGUACCGAAUGGAAGGGCCAUCGCUCA
RNAcentral lists this ribosomal RNA (2065 nucleotides) under Rhizophagus irregularis. RNAcentral's name for it is "bacterial LSU rRNA". It matches the Rfam family "Bacterial large subunit ribosomal RNA", at positions 448 to 2451 of the family's 2925-position model. The record is from RNAcentral. Lineage: Eukaryota; Fungi; Glomeromycota; Glomeromycetes; Glomerales; Glomeraceae.